GCUUGCAAUGUACCUGAGGAGUGCCUGGCUGAUCCUGCAUGCUCAGUGAGAGGAAGAUGGAGCAUUUGGAUACAGAAGGAAAAUUAAAUGAACAUCUGCUGCCUCAAAAUAAAGUGUCAACACCCCAAAGAUAGCACAAGCUGAUAUUUUUCUUCAGAGCACCAUAUAAUUGAUGAGGAAUUCAACUCUCCCGAGGAAUUCUCAACAAAUGGCCAAUUUAAUAAAAUAAUUUAUACUGAUUGCCUGUGGGCAAGAUACUAUGUGAUAGUGAUGAUGCAAAA
Long non-coding RNA from Hyaena hyaena (striped hyena), 281 nucleotides. RefSeq lists it as uncharacterized. NCBI's taxonomy places the organism in Eukaryota, Metazoa, Chordata, Mammalia, Carnivora, Hyaenidae. The record is from RefSeq and is a predicted model, not a curated record. The transcript is spliced from 3 exons.